GACGUGCUAAUCUGCGAUAAGCGUCGGUGAGGUGAUAUGAACCGUUAUAACCGGCGAUUUCCGAAUGGGGAAACCCAGUGUGUUUCGACACACUAUCAUUAACUGAAUCCAUAGGUUAAUGAGGCGAACCGGGGGAACUGAAACAUCUAAGUACCCCGAGGAAAAGAAAUCAACCGAGAUUCCCCCAGUAGCGGCGAGCGAACGGGGAGGAGCCCAGAGCCUGAAUCAGUGUGUGUGUUAGUGGAAGCGUCUGGAAAGGCGCGCGAUACAGGGUGACAGCCCCGUACACAAAAAUGCACAUAUUGUGAGCUCGAUGAGUAGGGCGGGACACGUGGUAUCCUGUCUGAAUAUGGGGGGACCAUCCUCCAAGGCUAAAUACUCCUGACUGACCGAUAGUGAACCAGUACCGUGAGGGAAAGGCGAAAAGAACCCCGGCGAGGGGAGUGAAAAAGAACCUGAAACCGUGUACGUACAAGCAGUGGGAGCCUCUUAAUGGGGUGACUGCGUACCUUUUGUAUAAUGGGUCAGCGACUUAUAUUCUGUAGCAAGGUUAACCGAAUAGGGGAGCCGAAGGGAAACCGAGUCUUAACUGGGCGUUAAGUUGCAGGGUAUAGACCCGAAACCCGGUGAUCUAGCCAUGGGCAGGUUGAAGGUUGGGUAACACUAACUGGAGGACCGAACCGACUAAUGUUGAAAAAUUAGCGGAUGACUUGUGGCUGGGGGUGAAAGGCCAAUCAAACCGGGAGAUAGCUGGUUCUCCCCGAAAGCUAUUUAGGUAGCGCCUCGUGAAUUCAUCUCCGGGGGUAG
This 807-nucleotide ribosomal RNA is filed under the name Escherichia coli. RNAcentral's name for it is "partial 23S ribosomal RNA". It matches the Rfam family "Bacterial large subunit ribosomal RNA", at positions 55 to 905 of the family's 2925-position model. Lineage: Bacteria; Pseudomonadati; Pseudomonadota; Gammaproteobacteria; Enterobacterales; Enterobacteriaceae. The record is from RNAcentral.